This 458-nucleotide ribosomal RNA is filed under the name uncultured bacterium. Its description in RNAcentral is "partial 16S ribosomal RNA". It matches the Rfam family "Bacterial small subunit ribosomal RNA", at positions 28 to 523 of the family's 1533-position model. The record is from RNAcentral.
GAUGAACGCUGGCGGCGUGCCUAAUACAUGCAAGUCGAGCGGUAAGGCCCCUUCGGGGGUACACGAGCGGCGGACGGCUGAGUAACACGUAGGAACGUACCCCAAAGUGAGGGAUAAGCACCAGAAAUGGUGUCUAAUACCGCAUGUGGCCUUCGGGCUAAAGCUCCGGCGCUUUGGGAACGGCCUGCGCAUGAUUAGCUUGUUGGUGAGGUAAUAGCUCACCAAGGCGAUGAUCAUUAGCUGGUCUGAGAGGAUGACCAGCCAGACUGGGACUGAGAACGGCCCAGACUCCUACGGGAGGCAGCAGUAGGGAAUUUUCCACAAUGGGCGAAAGCCUGAUGGAGCAACGCCGCGUGCAGGAUGAAUGCCUUUGGGUUGUAAACUGCUUUUAUAUGUGACGAUUAUGACGGUACCGUAAGAAUAAGCACCGGCUAACUACGUGCCAGCCGCCGCCGUAA